UCCAAGUUUGUGACUUUUUUUUUUAGAUGUUUUAAUCAUAUGCAACACUGUGUUAAUUAUAAAAAGCUUUUAGCAUUUCAGAUUUCAAAUAUGAGAACAGCCGUUGUCAUGCGUGUGCUCGUAGUGGCAUGAGGAAAUGAUUGUGUUUCAGAUAGUUAAUGACUUUAUAGCAUUUUUCCAGGUAGAGAAGUCCUCGAGAGAGUGGUUCUACAGUUACUUGUAGACAGGAUAUCAAAAAUUAAUAAGUGGAGCCAAGAGAGAGUGUGCACAUGCAAAAAUCCAUAAUAUCUCAAAAGAUUAUUUUCCCUUGAAUCUCAUUCAGUUGCUGAAUGAAACAAAUCUGGUGGCAGUGUAGAAGCCAAGAACAAAAACUGACAGAAGUUACUUUUCUCUUUAAGAAAAUGAAGAGAGCGUACACAUGACUAAGCACAGGAACCUGAAAAACCACAGAGGAUGAAGGUUUGAGCUGAAGUCUCUGGCAAGUGAAAAUUCCAGAUGGAAUAGACAAAGAGUAAGAAGAUGGAAGAAUAUAGGACACAACUGAAGAGUGUGUGUUUGGAGACAUACAACAAGACGCCCUAGUCAAGGUAAUACUGGGACAGCUGGAGCCCCACUCAGAAGAAGAGAAAAUAAAAUGUAUCUCCAUCUCAAUUCUGUGCAUAGGUCACCGAUGCUAAUUUAAUGGGAUAGCUAUUCCAUGUGAGGGGCCCACCUGUUGUGGGUGGUGGUAAUUCCAGAGCCUAACUCAUAGUACACUUUCCUGAAAUAGGCACUAAAGCAGAAGGAAAAAUACAGCCUUUAGCCAUGACACAGCACUGAAAAGCAUCCUUGCUUAAUGAACAUAUGUAAAGCUACAGCAAGUUAAAGUGUACCACCUAAAAUGUUGACCUAGAGACAUCUUGGUAGAUAAUGGAAUAAUCAGUGAAGAAAAGGAAAGUACUGAAAGGGACAAGUGGCAAGUGAUCCUGAUCUGUGACUCCUUGGUGACAGCCUGACAGAGCCAUGCCCUCAGAACAGGGGAAAUCUGCUCUUUUCCUUGUAUGUGUUCAAGUUUACAGAUUUGACAAACAGAGCAAAUAUUGUUCUGAAGAAGUCUGAGAAAUUUCCUUUUAUUGUAGCUGCUUAUUUACUAGAACUGGUAACAUUUUUUCAACCAACAAGAUUUUUGUCAAAAAAUAGCGUUUUCUGAAAAUAGAAUUUUUUUUAUGCAACAUA
Molecule: non-coding RNA, 1215 nt
Organism: Caretta caretta (loggerhead turtle)
Lineage: Eukaryota; Metazoa; Chordata; Testudines; Cheloniidae
Source: RefSeq, a predicted model, not a curated record